Molecule: ribosomal RNA, 333 nt
Filed under: uncultured Bacillota bacterium
Lineage: Bacteria; Bacillati; Bacillota
Description: bacterial SSU rRNA
Rfam family: Bacterial small subunit ribosomal RNA
Source: RNAcentral
GACGAACGCUGGCGGCGUGCCUAACACAUGCAAGUCGAGCGGAGAUAAGCGGAUGGUAACUGAAGUUUGUCUUAGCGGCGGACGGGUGAGUAACACGUGGGCAACCUGCCUCAAAGAGGGGGAUAACACCGAGAAAUCGGUGCUAAUACCGCAUAACAUACAGAUACCGCAUGGUGAGUGUAUCAAAGGAGCAAUCCGCUUUGAGAUGGGGCCCGCGGCUGAUUAGCUAGUUGGUAAGGUAACGGCUUACCAAGGCGACGAUCAGUAGCCGACCUGAGAGGGUGACCGGCCACACUGGAACUGAGACACGGUCCAGACUCCUACGGGAGGCAG